UGGGUUGGCCCAAAAGUUCGUUCGGAUUUUACAUGCCAUCUUACGAACUUUUGGCCCAACCCA
Bison bison bison is the source of this 63-nucleotide microRNA precursor. The record is from Ensembl. Lineage: Eukaryota; Metazoa; Chordata; Mammalia; Artiodactyla; Bovidae.